CUUGACAUGUCUUGGAUCGGUUUAAGAGAUGUGUCUUUCUUUUGGGAGCCAGACACACAGGCAUGCAUGUCGUCAGUUAGUGUCGUGAGAUGUUGGGUUAAGUCCCUCAACGAGCGCAACCCUCCCUUCUUUGUUGCCAGCCGGUUAUGGUGGGGACUCUUAAGAGACUGCCGGGGUAAAAAGCGAGGAAGGUGGGGGGGAGGUCAAGUCUUCAUGGCCCUUUUGUCCAGGGGUUCACACAUGCUACAAUGGGCGGUACAAAGGGGUGCGAAAGGGUGAGGUGGAGCCAAUUUCAAAAA
RNAcentral lists this ribosomal RNA (299 nucleotides) under uncultured bacterium. RNAcentral describes it as "partial 16S ribosomal RNA". It matches the Rfam family "Bacterial small subunit ribosomal RNA", at positions 980 to 1280 of the family's 1533-position model. The record is from RNAcentral.